UGAUCCUACGGGGAGCAGCAGUAGGGAAUAUUGCUCAAUGGGGGAAACCCUGAAGCAGCAACGCCGCGUGGAGGAUGAAGGUUUUCGGAUUGUAAACUCCUUUUGUUAGAGAAGAUAAUGACGGUAUCUAACGAAUAAGCACCGGCUAACUCAGUGCCAGCAGCCGCGGUAAUACGGAGGGUGCAAGCGUUACUCGGAAUCACUGGGCGUAAAGAGCGCGAAGGCGGGAUAGAAAGUCAGAUGUGAAAUCCUAUGGCUUAAACAUAGAACUGCAUUUGAAACUG
Molecule: ribosomal RNA, 284 nt
Filed under: uncultured bacterium
Lineage: Bacteria
Description: partial 16S ribosomal RNA
Rfam family: Bacterial small subunit ribosomal RNA
Source: RNAcentral